This 253-nucleotide ribosomal RNA is filed under the name uncultured bacterium. RNAcentral describes it as "partial 16S ribosomal RNA". It matches the Rfam family "Bacterial small subunit ribosomal RNA", at positions 524 to 776 of the family's 1533-position model. The record is from RNAcentral.
UACGGGGGGGGCAAGCGUUGUUCGGAAUUACUGGGCGUAAAGGGCUCGUAGGCGGCCAACUAAGUCAGACGUGAAAUCCCUCGGCUUAACCGGGGAACUGCGUCUGAUACUGGAUGGCUUGAGGAGUGGAGGGGGGACUGGAAUACUUGGUGUAGCAGUGAAAUGCGUAGAUAUCAAGUGGAACACCAGUGGCGAAGGCGAGUCCCUGGACACUUCCUGACACUGAGGCACGAAAGCUAGGGGAGCAAACAGG